This 467-nucleotide ribosomal RNA is filed under the name uncultured bacterium. RNAcentral's name for it is "partial 16S ribosomal RNA". It matches the Rfam family "Bacterial small subunit ribosomal RNA", at positions 28 to 507 of the family's 1533-position model. The record is from RNAcentral.
GACGAACGCUGGCGGCGUGCUUAACACAUGCAAGUCGAGCGGAAAGGCCCCACCUUGCUCUCGUGCUCCAAACGGGUAAGUAACAGGUAAAUAACGUUCCUCAGCCUUGGAGUUAACCCUCAGCAUCGGAGACUAGUACCAAUUACGGAUCUGCCUCUUAUGCUUUUUGUGUUUGGAGUAUUUUUUUUUGGUGUAGGAUGGGCGCGCGGCCUAUCAGCUUGUUGGUGGGGUGAUGGCCUACCAAGGCGACGACGGGUAGCCGGCCUGAGAGGGUGACCGGCCACAUUGGGACUGAGAUACGGCCCAGACUCCUACGGGAGGCAGCAGUGGGGAAUAUUGCACAAUGGGCGGAAGCCUGAUGCAGCGACGCCGCGUGAGGGAUGACGGCCUUCGGGUUGUAAACCUCUUUCAGCAGGGACGAAGCGUAAGUGACGGUACCUGCAGAAGAAGCGCCGGCUAACUACGUG